UGUGUUCAGUGACGCUGAAGCCAGUGCAAGCAAAUCUGAUGACUGCAGCACAGCAGUCACAGCAACAGAAUGUGGAUCUGUGCAGCCUAUGGAUGCUGAUGCUACAAUCAAAGAGCAAGUUCAUGACAUGGAAGAUUUUGGGUCUGUACUGUCAGUGUCAUCUACAGUAACUAAGACUGCUCCUCCCUCUGAAGGACAAGAUGCUUGUGAAGACCAGCAUAGAAGAGUGCCAAAGAAAGUGUGGUUGAAGGCUGAGGUUGCUGCAGUAUUGUGACAUUUCAGAGAUCACAUUCAAAAAGGAAAACUGGCCACCAAAAAUGAAUGUAGUCAAUGCAAGCUGGUAGAAGGCCCUGUGCUAGCUCAAAGAACAGUGCAAAAUAUAAGGGACUUUGUUAGAAACUGAGGAAUAGCUGCAAAGAGGCAGUCAGAGAAAAAAAAGCUUUAAAUUCGCUGUCAGCCUUUUGUGUUAUUCUUAACACUUGGAGAUAGAUUAGUCCAAACCAACUGUAUGGAGCCAUUUUAAGUUGUUAUUUUGUUUUGUCAUGUUACAAAGUCUUAUGUUUGUAUAGCAGAAUGCUGCUCAGUUUUGCUGUGAAGCAGCAGAAAUGUAAAGUCAUCCUUAAA
Sphaeramia orbicularis (orbiculate cardinalfish) is the source of this 624-nucleotide long non-coding RNA. RefSeq lists it as uncharacterized. The record is from RefSeq and is a predicted model, not a curated record. NCBI's taxonomy places the organism in Eukaryota, Metazoa, Chordata, Actinopteri, Kurtiformes, Apogonidae. The transcript has 3 exons.